CUGGUGCCAGCAGCCGCGGUAAUUCCAGCUCCAAUAGCGUAUAUUAAAGUUGUUGCAGUUAAAAAGCUCGUAGUUGAAUUUCGGGGUCAGUAGGUUGGUCGUGCCAAUGGUAUGUACUGGCUUUACUGAUUCCUCCUUCUUGAAGAACUGUAAUGUCAUUAAUUUGGUGUUGCAGGGAAACAGGACUGUUACUUUGAAAAAUUAGAGUGUUUAAAGCAGGCUAACGCUUGAAUACAUUAGCAUGGAAUAAUGAAAUAGGACGUUCGAUCCUAUUUUGUUGGUUUCUAGGGAUUGACGUAAUGAUUAAUAGGGAUAGUUGGGGGCAUUAGUAUUCAAUUGUCAGAGGUGAAAUUCUUGGAUUUAUUGAAGACUAACUACUGCGAAAGCAUUUGCCAAGGAUGUUUUCAUUAAUCAAGAACGAAAGUUAGGGGAUCGAAGACGAUCAGAUACCGUCGUAGUCUUAACCAUAAACUAUGCCGACUAGGGAUCGGAUGAUGUUAAUUUUUUAAUGACUCAUUCGGCGCCUUACG
Molecule: ribosomal RNA, 530 nt
Filed under: uncultured Glomus
Lineage: Eukaryota; Fungi; Glomeromycota; Glomeromycetes; Glomerales; Glomeraceae
Description: SSU rRNA
Rfam family: Eukaryotic small subunit ribosomal RNA
Source: RNAcentral